RNAcentral lists this ribosomal RNA (450 nucleotides) under uncultured bacterium. Its description in RNAcentral is "bacterial SSU rRNA". It matches the Rfam family "Bacterial small subunit ribosomal RNA", at positions 354 to 796 of the family's 1533-position model. The record is from RNAcentral.
GUGGGGAAUUAUGGACAAUGGGCGCAAGCCUGAUCCAGCAAUGCCGCGUGCAGGAAGAAGGCCUUCGGGUUGUAAACUGCUUUUGUACGGAACGAAACGGUCCUGGCUAAUAUCCGGGGCUAAUGACGGUACCGUAAGAAUAAGCACCGGCUAACUACGUGCCAGCAGCCGCGGUAAUACGUAGGGUGCGAGCGUUAAUCGGAAUUACUGGGCGUAAAGCGUGCGCAGGCGGUGCUGUAAGACAGGCGUGAAAUCCCCGGGCUCAACCUGGGAAUUGCGCUUGUGACUGCAGUGCUGGAGUGCGGCAGAGGGGGAUGGAAUUCCGCGUGUAGCAGUGAAAUGCGUAGAUAUGCGGAGGAACACCGAUGGCGAAGGCAAUCCCCUGGGCCUGCACUGACGCUCAUGCACGAAAGCGUGGGGAGCAAACAGGAUUAGAAACCCGUGUAGUCC